RNAcentral lists this transfer RNA (83 nucleotides) under Streptomyces litmocidini. RNAcentral's name for it is "tRNA-Thr". The record is from RNAcentral. Lineage: Bacteria; Bacillati; Actinomycetota; Actinomycetes; Kitasatosporales; Streptomycetaceae.
GGCGGGCCUCGCGGACGGCACCAGCGAUGUGGCCUUCGUGUGGCUGCCGCUGGUCGGGGCGGACCGUUUCCGCCGGGUCGUCG